RNAcentral lists this ribosomal RNA (468 nucleotides) under uncultured bacterium. RNAcentral's name for it is "partial 16S ribosomal RNA". It matches the Rfam family "Bacterial small subunit ribosomal RNA", at positions 28 to 507 of the family's 1533-position model. The record is from RNAcentral.
GACGAACGCUGGCGGCGUGCUUAACACAUGCAAGUCGAACGGAAAGGCCAUGCUUUUGUGGGGUGCUCGAGUGGCGAACGGGUGAGUAACACGUGAGUAACCUGCCCUUGAAUUUGGGAUAACUUCAGGAAACUGGGGAGAAUACCGGAUAGGAGCUCCUGCUGCAUGGGGGGGGUUGGAAAGUUUCGGCGGUUGGGGAUGGACUCGCGGCUUAUCAGCUUGUUGGUGGGGUAGUGGCUUACCAAGGGUUUGACGGGUAGCCGGCCUGAGAGGGUGACCGGCCACAUUGGGACUGAGAUACGGCGCAGACUCCUACGGGAGGCAGCAGUGGGGAGUAUUGCACAGUGGGCGGAAGCCUGAUGCAGCGACGCCGCGUGCGGGAUGACGGGCUUCGGGUUGUAAACCGCUUUCUCCUGUGACGAAGCGGGCGUGACGGUAAUGGGUAAAGAAGCACCGGCUAACUACGUG